UACGUAGGGACCGAGCGUUGUCCGGAAUCAUUGGGCGUAAAGAGCGUGUAGGCGGCCACUUAAGUCCUGCGUGAAAUCUUGCGGCUCAACCGCAAGCGGUCGUGGGAAAUUGGGUGGCUAGAGUGCGGGAGAGGAGAGUGGAAUUCCUGGUGUAGCGGUGGAAUGCGCAGAUAUCAGGAAGAACACCCGUGGCGAAGGCGGCUCUCUGGAACGCAACUGACGCUGAGACGCGAAAGCGUGGGGAGCAAACAGG
Molecule: ribosomal RNA, 253 nt
Filed under: uncultured bacterium
Lineage: Bacteria
Description: partial 16S ribosomal RNA
Rfam family: Bacterial small subunit ribosomal RNA
Source: RNAcentral